This 253-nucleotide ribosomal RNA is filed under the name uncultured bacterium. Its description in RNAcentral is "partial 16S ribosomal RNA". It matches the Rfam family "Bacterial small subunit ribosomal RNA", at positions 524 to 776 of the family's 1533-position model. The record is from RNAcentral.
UACGAAGGGGGCUAGCGUUGCUCGGAAUCACUGGGCGUAAAGGGCGCGUAGGCGGAUCUUUAAGUCGGGGGUGAAAGCCUGAGGCUCAACCCCGGAACUGCCUUUGAUACUGGGUAUCUGGAGUAUGGAAGAGGUGAGUGGAAUUCCGAGUGUAGAGGUGAAAUUCGUAGAUAUUCGGAGGAACACCAGUGGCGAAGGCGGCUCACUGGUCCAUUACUGACGCUGAGGUGCGAAAGCGUGGGGAGCAAACAGG